This 497-nucleotide ribosomal RNA is filed under the name uncultured bacterium. RNAcentral's name for it is "partial 16S ribosomal RNA". It matches the Rfam family "Bacterial small subunit ribosomal RNA", at positions 28 to 507 of the family's 1533-position model. The record is from RNAcentral.
GAUGAACGCUGGCGGCGUGCCUAAUACAUGCAAGUCGAGCGAACGGACGAGAAUCUUGCUUUUCUGAUGUUAGCGGCGGACGGGUGAGUAACACGUGGAUAACCUACCUAUAAGACUGGGAUAACUUCGGGAAACCGGCGCUAAUACCGUAUAAUAUUUUGAACCGCAUGGUUCAAAAGUGAAAGACGGUCUUGCUGUCACUUAUAGAUGGAUCCGCGCUGCAUUAGCUAGUUGGUAAGGUAACGGCUUACCAAGGCAACGAUGCAUAGCCGACCUGAGAGAGUGAUAGGCCACACGGGAACUGAGACAGGGUCAAGACUACUACGGGAGGCAGCAGUAGGGAAUGUGACGCAAUGGGCGAAAGCCUGACGGAGCAACGCCGCGUGAGUGAUGAAGGUCUUCGGAUCGUAAAACUCGGUUAUGAGGGAAGAACAGAUGUGGAAGUAAAUGUGCACAUAUUGACGGUACCUAAUCAGAAAGCCACGGCUAACUACGUG